GGGCGGCAGGCUUAACACAUCGCAAGUCGAACGCAUCCUUCGGGGUGAGUGGCAGACGGGUGAGUAACGCGUGGGAACGUGCCCUUCAGUUCGGAAUAACCCAGGGAAACUUGGGCUAAUACCGGAUACGUGCGAGAGCAGAAAGAUUGAUCGCCGAAGGAUCGGCCCGCGUCUGAUUAGCUAGUUGGUGGGGUAAUGGCCCACCAAGGCGACGAUCAGUAGCUGGUCUGAGAGGAUGAUCAGCCACACUGGGACUGAGACACGGCCCAGACUCCUACGGGAGGCAGCAGUGGGGAAUAUUGGACAAUGGGCGCAAGCCUGAUCCAGCCAUGCCGCGUGAGUGAUGAAGGCCUUAGGGUUGUAAAGCUCUUUCGGCGGGGACGAUAAUGACGGUACCCGCAGAAGAAGCCCCGGCUAACUUCGUGCCAGCAGCCGCGGUAAUACGAAGGGGGCUAGCGUUGUUCGGAAUCACUGGGCGUAAAGGGCGCGUAGGCGGCUUUGUAAGUCGGGGGUGAAAGCCUGUGGCUCAACCACAGAAUUGCCUUCGAUACUGCAGGGCUUGAGACCGGAAGAGGUUAGUGGAACUGCGAGUGUAGAGGUGAAAUUCGUAGAUAUUCGCAAGAACACCAGUGGCGAAGGCGGCUGACUGGUCCGGUUCUGACGCUGAGGCGCGAAAGCGUGGGGAGCAAA
RNAcentral lists this ribosomal RNA (690 nucleotides) under uncultured Alphaproteobacteria bacterium. RNAcentral's name for it is "bacterial SSU rRNA". It matches the Rfam family "Bacterial small subunit ribosomal RNA", at positions 37 to 772 of the family's 1533-position model. Lineage: Bacteria; Pseudomonadati; Pseudomonadota; Alphaproteobacteria. The record is from RNAcentral.